UACGGAAGGCAGCAGUGGGGAAUAUUGCACAAUGGGCGAAAGCCUGAUGCAGCUAUGCCGCGUGUAUGAAGAAGGCCUUAGGGUUGUAAAGUACUUUCAUCGGGGAGGAAAAACAAAACUAAUAAUUUUAUUUCUUGACGUUACCCGAAAAAGAAGCACCGGCUAACUCCGUGCCAGCAGCCGCGGUAAUACGGAGGGUGCUAGCGUUAAUCAGAAUUACUGGGCGUAAAGAGCACGUAGGUGGUUUUUUUAAGUCAGAUGUGAAAUCCCUGGGCUUAACCUAGGAACUGCAUUUUGAAACUGAAAUACUAGAGUAUCGUAGAGGGAGGUAGAAUUCUAGGUGUAGCGGUGAAAUGCGUAGAUAUCUGGAGGAAUACCUGCGGCGAAAGCGGCCUCCUAAACGAAUACUGACACUGAGGUGCGAAAGCGUGGGGAGCAAACAGGGAUUAGAUACC
RNAcentral lists this ribosomal RNA (455 nucleotides) under uncultured bacterium. Its description in RNAcentral is "bacterial SSU rRNA". It matches the Rfam family "Bacterial small subunit ribosomal RNA", at positions 340 to 786 of the family's 1533-position model. The record is from RNAcentral.